UAAACGGCCCUUUUCAGGGCCAACGAAUUUAUAGAAAGUUAAAUAA
This is a non-coding RNA of Trachymyrmex cornetzi, 46 nucleotides long. The record is from Rfam. NCBI's taxonomy places the organism in Eukaryota, Metazoa, Arthropoda, Insecta, Hymenoptera, Formicidae.